RNAcentral lists this small RNA (67 nucleotides) under Paenisporosarcina sp. HGH0030. RNAcentral's name for it is "Bacillaceae-1 RNA". It matches the Rfam family "Bacillaceae-1 RNA". The record is from Rfam by way of RNAcentral. Lineage: Bacteria; Bacillati; Bacillota; Bacilli; Caryophanales; Caryophanaceae.
UGUUUCGAUAUGAAGGCUAGUGUCCCGAAAUCGUGUCGGAACGCCUUCAUGACCCACAUCCUAUGGA